UACGAAGGGGGCUAGCGUUGUUCGGAAUUACUGGGCGUAAAGGGUGCGUAGGUGGCGAGGUAAGUCAGAUGUGAAAGCCCAGGGCUCAACCUUGGAAUUGCAUCCGAUACUGCUUUGCUAGAGUACUGGAGGGGUGACUAGAAUUCUCGGUGUAGCAGUGAAAUGCGUAGAUAUCGAGAGGAAUACCAAAGGCGUAGGCAGGUCACUGGACAGUUACUGACACUGAGGCACGAAGGCCAGGGUAGCGAACGGG
This 253-nucleotide ribosomal RNA is filed under the name uncultured bacterium. RNAcentral's name for it is "partial 16S ribosomal RNA". It matches the Rfam family "Bacterial small subunit ribosomal RNA", at positions 524 to 776 of the family's 1533-position model. The record is from RNAcentral.